Molecule: ribosomal RNA, 800 nt
Filed under: Bacillus velezensis
Lineage: Bacteria; Bacillati; Bacillota; Bacilli; Caryophanales; Bacillaceae
Description: bacterial SSU rRNA
Rfam family: Bacterial small subunit ribosomal RNA
Source: RNAcentral
AAACUGGCCGCCAUGCCUAAUACAUGCAAGUCGAGCGGACAGAUGGGAGCUUGCUCCCUGAUGUUAGCGGCGGCACGGGUGAGUAACACGUGGGUAACCUGCCUGUAAGACUGGGAUAACUCCGGGAAACCGGGGCUAAUACCGGAUGGUUGUCUGAACCGCAUGGUUCAGACAUAAAAGGUGGCUUCGGCUACCACUUACAGAUGGACCCGCGGCGCAUUAGCUAGUUGGUGAGGUAACGGCUCACCAAGGCGACGAUGCGUAGCCGACCUGAGAGGGUGAUCGGCCACACUGGGACUGAGACACGGCCCAGACUCCUACGGGAGGCAGCAGUAGGGAAUCUUCCGCAAUGGACGAAAGUCUGACGGAGCAACGCCGCGUGAGUGAUGAAGGUUUUCGGAUCGUAAAGCUCUGUUGUUAGGGAAGAACAAGUGCCGUUCAAAUAGGGCGGCACCUUGACGGUACCUAACCAGAAAGCCACGGCUAACUACGUGCCAGCAGCCGCGGUAAUACGUAGGUGGCAAGCGUUGUCCGGAAUUAUUGGGCGUAAAGGGCUCGCAGGCGGUUUCUUAAGUCUGAUGUGAAAGCCCCCGGCUCAACCGGGGAGGGUCAUUGGAAACUGGGGAACUUGAGUGCAGAAGAGGAGAGUGGAAUUCCACGUGUAGCGGUGAAAUGCGUAGAGAUGUGGAGGAACACCAGUGGCGAAGGCGACUCUCUGGUCUGUAACUGACGCUGAGGAGCGAAAGCGUGGGGAGCGAACAGGAUUAGAUACCCUGGUAGUCCACGCCGUAAACGAUGAG